AUUCAGGAAUCCCGGUGCUCAGAGCUUGUUGUAAAUCUGACUAUCUGAGAUUUUUUUCCCCAAAGUUCUGAAAGGUGACUUCCCAAGGAGCUGGUAUUUCCCAGCUAUCCAGCCAGACAGGCAGAGAUGGACUGUGCAGAAAGAGAGAAAAUGAAUGGAAAAUAAAAACCCUAAACACAGGAGCCUUGAAAACUUGCAGAUGUGCACAAACAAUCCAAGAAUGCAGGUGAGCAGACAUGUGGGUGUUUGUGUAUCCAUAUAUCCACGUAUAUACUUCCAAGAAGAUGAUUUUAGCCAAUUCCAUGAAUUCAGGGCCAGGAUAUGAAAUGCCCUGAACAUUACUUAGCCACGUUGAUCUAGAAAGCUUCAAUCCUUUCAGGUUACAUUUUUUAUGUCAUUGUUGCUAUUGGAAUCUGGUUCCAAAUCUCCUUUUUAAUGGAUUUUCCUCCCCUGUUUAUUGACAAUAUAUUUAUUUUAAGGAGCGUAGUAUAUGAUCACAAACAAUUUGUCCCUCAACAUGAACAGCCACAGGAUUGUGGGGUUGUGACCUCCUUAGCCAGUCUCUGCCAUCCUCUCCAUCAAACAUAUUUGGUAUCAAUCUAAGUUCCAAAUUAAGAGCAAUUUCUUGUUCUCUCUCUGAUGUUAUUUGUCGAGAGCAAAGUGUUCCCUUUAUUUUUCAACAUAACCUUUUAUAAUGCAAAAAUAUUGUCAUUUUCCUUCCACUCUUCCAUUCAGAAUGAUCCUAAUCUACUCUUUCCUGGGUGAGUCUGGCUUCCUAGACCUCUGGUUCUCUUUGCACAUCCACAUGUAAUGACUCCUUGGAUGAAGUGACCAAAAAUGGCAGUUCCCAAAGUUCCUGGUGAAAGAAAUUUGGUCUUUUGUAAAAUUGCUAAAAACCUUGGAAUUUGAAAAAGAAAACCAGAAAUUUCCCUCUUCAACAAAAUUAUAUCAGAGAAGGAAUCAGGGAACUCCUGCAUGUAAAGUAGCCAUGAUAUUUGAUUUCUGAUGCAAAUUUCCAGAAGGACUCCUGGAAAUUGGUGGGAAAGAGGGAGAGCAGUUCUCUUCCAGAGGUCACUUGGAGCUGGAGGCUGAGGAGGACACUCAGCUCAUUUUGGCUCUCACCAUUUCAUAAUUUUAACGUAAGAAAAAUUACAUCCUAAGUGCCUGCUAAUGAGUUAAUGCACCACACACUGGAAACCCAAGAACUGCAGUGUUUGGUGUUAGGAGAGAGCCACAAGUUCAGGCCCCAAACCUCUUUGGCCAUUUUUAGAGGUGCAUUAAUCCACAACUUCCUUUAGGGAUAAGUGAAAUGGGAGUGAGUCAGCUCAUCUUGAACUUCCCAGUGAGCCCAUUUUGGAUGAAAGGUCACCUUCUGUCCUUGGGAGCAAAACAAAAUUGGGGCAAGAGUUGCAAGAGCAGAGCAGACAAUCAUUGCCAUUAUCCUCUCCGUGGCUGGUGAACUCCUUUUUCCAUGAGAUUAAAAUGACUUCAUCUCACUAACUCUUAUCAAUCAGUUCUGUCUCCAUGUCCUAACUGUCCUCGAAGAGGAAAAAUCCUGGAAUCACAGAAUGGUUUGAGUUGGAAGGGACCUUAAAGCCCAUCCAGUGCCACCCUUGCCAUGGGCAGGCACACCUUCAGUGUCUCAGGCUGCUCCAAGCCCCACUGUCCAACCUGGCCUUGGGCACUGCCAGGGAUCCAGGGGCAGCCACAGCUGCUCUGGGAAACUGUGCUAGAGCCUCACCACCCUCACAGCCAGGAAUUCCUUCCCAAAUCCCAUCUAACCCCGCUCUCCUGAAGCCAUUCCCUGUGUCCUGUCCAUCCAUCCCUUCUCCAAAGUCUCUCUCCAUCCUUCCUCCAGCUCCUCCAGGCCACAGUGAGGUCACCCCAAAGCUUCUCCUCUCCAGGCUGGACAACCCCAUCUCUCCCAGCCUUUCCUCCCAGCAGAGCUGCUCCAUCCCUGGGAUCAUCCUGGAGCCUCCUCUGAACCAUGCCAGGGAUCUUUGGAAAAGGAGGAGAGGGGGAAAUGGAGAAGGAACAGCAGUAAACAGAAAAUUCUGGCGCCGCUGGACUGAAGGGAAGUGGCAUCACUGAAAUCACUAAAAGUAGGCUCGAGUCUGAUCUGAAAAGCAAUUUAGAAUAUGAGCUUUUCUUUCCAAAUGAGCAGCAAGUGCCUUCCUUCACCCAGAAUUUGGUGCUUUCUAUUACAUUUUGAAUUGAUUGGCUUUAUGGCCCAGUGCUGGGGAAUUGCCCUAGCAUGAUCUCGUCUGGCUCAUGUUUCUAAUUCUGGCAACUCUAAAUCCAGAUGCCCUGAAAAUCCAGGCUGUUGCUUACAGCACAUACUGGAGGUUAAUCUCCAUUUCUGUGUACCCAGGCAAAAUCCAGGAAUUGGGAUGUAUGGAAGAUUAGCCCACAAGAGUUCCAAGUCCAUGCUCUUCCUCUCUGUGGUCCAUGUUCAGCCUCCUUUAGGACAUUAAAACCUCCACUUCGGCUGCCAGGUGACAAGAGGCCUCUCUACUGAAUAAAAAGGGUUGAAAAGGCUGCAGCACGUUGUGGUGAUGGAGGAAAAGAGGUUGUGGACAGGUGGAGGUCAGACUCUUCUCUCACAUACCAGCUGAUAAAUAGGAAAAAACAGCUUUUCUUUGUGCCAGGAGAGGUUUACAUUGGGUAUUACGGAAAAAUUCUUCACCAAAAGGGUUGUCAAGCGCUGGAAGAGGCUGCUCAGAGGAGUGGUGGGAUCACCAUUCCUGGAGCUGAUUUGAAAACACCUGGAUAUCCAUUAGGGACGUGGUUUGGUGCUGGGUUAAUGGUUGGGCUGGAUGAUCUCAGGGAUCCUUUCCAAGUUAAGAGGUUCCACGAUUCUGGGAUGUGGCUGCAGGAGGGGGGGAAGGGCUGGAGGAGCCCUCUCAGGGCUGGAGGGUGGCUCAGAACUCUCAGCUUGGGUGGGAACACAUCACCCUGGGGGCAUUAUUUUGCCUUGGAUCCCUGCACGAAAUUCCAGCUGCUGCCAGAGGAAUCUGUGCAUUCCCACCCAGGGCUCUGAUCAUCCCAGGAAAGGUUGAGGAGAAGCUCAUGUAGCUCAUAUAUAAGUGGAGUAUGGAGUUGUUUUGGUUUUGUUUUUUUGUUUUUUGGUUUUUUUUUUAUACUGGCUAUAAUAAAUAUCAACACAUUUAGAAAAAAAGAAAAUUGGGCUUAAAGGGAGGAAAAAAGCUACAGCUGAGUGUGGUUCACUAGAAGGAAAUACCCAAGGCUGUUGAAACAUUAGAUAAAAAACUGAUCUUGUAACGUCAGGAAUCAGUGAGGAUAACAACUGUCAAUUUUGUCCAAUAAAACCUCCCUUUUAUUUUGCCUACUUUGCUCUUUUAUUUUUAAUAGCUAUCCAUUAAAAAUAUGGCACCCACAAUUUGCUGGUAUUUGCUGUUCUGUUUUAAUGCUGUCUAUUAGUUCUUCCCUCUCCUUUUAAUAUUUACACAUAUCAUCAAAUGCUGGGCAAAAUUUCUCUGCUGAAAAAAAAGAAAAUCCCACGAGUAUAAAUCAGUCACAAAUAACUUGUUACUGAGGCCAUGGCUGGGCUUUCUGUGCUGCUCCAGUGUCCCACUGAGUUUCAAGUAGCACUUUUAUAUUAGAAAUAAUUCAUGUUAAUGUCAUAUGGUGCAUUAUUAUUUCUUAGCUUCAUCAGAAAAUAGCACAACUGUCCUGCAAAAAAAAAAAAAAAAAAUCAACAGUUAUGCCCUAAUAAAUAACUGAUAAUGAGUGGGCUAAGAAAAAAUUGUGGCUAGGAGCAUCAGUUCGACUUAAGCUACUCCAGCCUGAAGGAUUCCAGCUGGAAAAGCCUAGUUUAAAAUUCUUACACUUCCUCCAUUUCAUGUGCACUCAGCAAUGCUUAUGCAGCUCAAAUAAUCCCUGCCUGUACUGAAUAUAUGGCGUGGCAAAUGCCAGCAGUGUAUGGAAAACAGGAUCCAGCCUCCAGCAGAGCAGCCAGAAUGGGAUGAAGGGACCUGAGCAGCAGCUGAGCCUUGGGCUGAGCUCUGCCAGUGCAAACAGGACCCUCCAGCAGCCAGGAAAGCUCUGCAGUGGCUGGAGGGGGACAGGACAACCCCCUGCAUCCGAUUUCAGAGCCCUCAUAGGGAGGCUGAGCUGUUGAUACAACAGCAUGGGAGGUUGUGGUCCCUAAAACACCCCUGGGACAGUGUGACAGAGAUUUAACAGAAAUAGUGCCCUCCAGAGAAGGGCUAGAGGUAAAUUCCAGCUGAUGAUUCUGUUUCUCUGUCUGUGUUUGCUAAAUUAAUUAAGGAACAGAGAGGGAAUAAGAAAAGUGAAGCCUCAUCAACUGCUUCACUAACUGCUGCACAAAGACUCUCAAUUCUGACUGUCCUCUAUCAACAUUUUCAAAAACACUAACAUGUCUUCUUCUUCUUAAAUAACUUCUAAUAUAGAAUCCCAAGAAUAUUUGAAAGGCUCUCUCCAAAUAAAAGGAAGAGGGGAACCUCAAUAUUGAAUAUGAAGACGCUGUGCAAUAUAGGAAUCUCAUGGGGACAAGGAGAGGAGAUAUCAGGGCAGGGAAGGAGGUUAAGCUGAGCUUUGAGCCCAGUCUAAUGGCAUGAGCCUCUUGCAGCCUGUGCAGCUGGCAGUGUUUCUGCCAAGGGCAGGAGAGCAGGAGAGCUCAGCUCUGUGCUCUGCACAGCUCUGGCCUUCCCUAAAUUCCAGGAUUUCCACUGAGGAACAUGGCAGGGAGAGCCAUGGGAUGUUCCUUCUGAGCUCCUGGAGCAUCUCUCCCUGGAGCAGCGGGCUGGCAGCUCUGCCAGGCAGGAGAUCCCAGCAGGGAUCAAUGAUCCCAUCAGGGAUCAAUGAUCCCAUCAGGGAGCAGCACACCCCGCUGGGAUCUCCCUGCUCCCCUGCCAGCCUGGGCUUCCACAGCUUCUCCUGCUCAGAGCUGGCAGCUGGAGCCCAUCCCUGACUGCCCUGCAGGGUGGCCAGGGCUUUUUGGGCAGAAAUGCAGCUGGAGCUGUGUUCCAGCCCUCCCAACACUCGGACCCAGCACCCCCAAACUCCUCCCGACCUUAACAAACCCAGCGGGCCGGGAAGCAGCUCCCCUUUGCAAUAAUUACAGCAGAGUUUCCCUCCCCCUUGCACUGCCUAUUGCUUUUGUCCUUGCCAUGGGUUGCUGGAGACAGAGGGACUAGUAAAGCUCAGAAUAUUUCUUUCUGGACAGUCAGGGCGAGCUUUGGGAGAAAACUCCCUCUUUUCUCUCCACCGCUGCCACUUGUGCUGGGCAGGGCAGGGAAGGGAAGGGGAUGGUUCCCACUACAGGCUGCCUGGAGCACUCCGUGCCUGCUGAGCAGCGACUGCAGCAGGGGAACGCUCUCCCCUGGUGGAAACAGAGCCUUGUAAGGAUAUUUCUGCAAGGUACAAUAAUUGCUCGAGCAUCCACCUCUAAGUUGGGUCUCCAUUUCAGUAUUUCAGUAUUUCAGGUGCAUUUCAGUAUUUCAGUGCGGACAACUGAGGCUGGAAAGAGGCAGCCAAAGGGCACCUGCCAGUGCCCACCCUGCUGACAGCAUCCCCACAGCUCCAGGAUGGGCUUUGGCAAGGAGAUAGCUCGCUUGCCAAUAAUCAUAAUUAUCAUUAAUAACCGAGUGACGUCCUAAUCUGGGUUACAUCAGCCGUCCCCUUCCCCGGAGCUGCCGCCAGUCACACUCACGCCGAGCAGAGACACGAGGGCCGGGAGCUGCUGUGGCUGGAGGAAGAUGAAGGGGAUGGCCCGAGGUGACUUCUGCCUCCUGGCUGAGGGGACAAGGGGACAUGGCCGGGACAAACCCUGCGAGAGCCGCCUCUCUGUGUGGAUUUGAGUCUCCUCAGCGCUCUGGGAAACUGCGGGGGCAUAAAGGCUGGAAAGGGAGGUGCGGGGCCAUCCCCUCCCUCCUCCUCUCCCGGGGCAUCCCUCGGGGCUGUCCUGUGUCCCAGCCGGGCAGGGGGCACAGGGGUGUCCGUGUGUCCC
Molecule: long non-coding RNA, 5992 nt
Filed under: Taeniopygia guttata (zebra finch)
Lineage: Eukaryota; Metazoa; Chordata; Aves; Passeriformes; Estrildidae
Description: lncRNA (ENSTGUG00000024247.1)
Source: RNAcentral